GGGCGCUUAGCUCAGUUCGGUCCAGAGCAGCUGUCUUACAAGCAGCAGGCCGGGGGUUCAAAUCCCUCAGCGCCCA
This 76-nucleotide transfer RNA is filed under the name Actinomycetes bacterium. RNAcentral's name for it is "Actinobacteria bacterium tRNA-Val". It matches the Rfam family "tRNA". Rfam says of the family: Transfer RNA (tRNA) molecules are approximately 80 nucleotides in length. Their secondary structure includes four short double-helical elements and three loops (D, anti-codon, and T loops). RNAcentral also lists the same sequence under 2 other names. Lineage: Bacteria; Bacillati; Actinomycetota; Actinomycetes. The record is from RNAcentral.